CAGAUAGCUUUGUUAAUUUUUCUCCAUAUUAGUUCCCAAAAUUCACAUAAUUGAUAGCAUCUGCAAGCAAGGAGGCCAUGGCCAUGCCUGAAGCAGAAGUCAAAUCUUUGAUUAUACUUGCAAUAUUUAAAUAUACAAUCGUUUUUACUGAGCAGGGUCAGUUUAAUGAUCUUCAGAUGUCAGCAUAUUUUGUUUCCUAAUUGUUUGGAUUUAAUGUAAUUUUUGAAUUGUUCAAGAUUUUAUGCUUUAUACUGGUAAAUAAAGAUAAUCUUUAUCUUUUUGAGAAAUAACUUUCUCCUUUUUUUCACAUGAUAGAUAGACAGGUUUGGGCAUUUCAAAAUUUGGCAUGGUGCAGGAUCUGUUUUAGUCGCUGUUUCAUUUUCUUCUGUUUUUGGCGGUUGCCUGCCUUGCAAGAUCCUUGGCACCAAUUCAUUUACUGUGCAAACUAUUGGAUACAGCAUUUUUGCAGCUAUCUUCAAUGUGGGUUGGGCUGCAACUCAAGUUUCACACAUGUCUAUGGUGAAUUGCAUCAUGCUGAAUUCAACAAGUAGAGUAAUUUUGGCUAGUUGUCGCAAUGCUUUUACAAUGGUCGCCAACCUAAGCCUGUAUUGAGUUGCUUUUAUAGUAUUCCGAUUCAAUACAUCAAGGACACUUGCUGAUGUUGAAAGUCAGUACCGCUGGAUAGCACAUUUGUCAAUUUUUAUUGAAUGCUGAUUCGUUGGCAUAUUUCUUCUUGGAACCAAAGAGCCAAGGUU
This is a long non-coding RNA of Cornus florida, 755 nucleotides long. RefSeq lists it as uncharacterized. The record is from RefSeq and is a predicted model, not a curated record. NCBI's taxonomy places the organism in Eukaryota, Viridiplantae, Streptophyta, Magnoliopsida, Cornales, Cornaceae. The transcript has 4 exons.